Molecule: long non-coding RNA, 782 nt
Organism: Suricata suricatta (meerkat)
Lineage: Eukaryota; Metazoa; Chordata; Mammalia; Carnivora; Herpestidae
Exons: 3
Source: RefSeq, a predicted model, not a curated record
ACCCAGCAGCACAGCCCAGGGCCCGGGCCACCCAGAGCUGCCGACUCGGCCUGCCGCUCUGGCCGUGACACCGACAGCAGGCGCAGCCCAUCCCCGCCCAGCGCCGCCAUCGCGCCCGGACCGCGGCGCGCACCAGUGACGUGAUCCCGCCGCCGUUCGACCCGCGCCUCCCGCAAGCGCAGGUGAUGUCAUCCGGCAGCGCGGGCGCCCCGCCCCCGACCCCGACACUGAAGCAGAGGCUGCGCGCGCGGAACAGGUUUAUUGAACAACAGAUAGCACGUGGCCCCAGCAGCUGCCGGGCAGGCGUGGACGCGUGGGAAGGGCACCCUAGCUUAGGGCUCAGGGCCGGGAUUCAGCCACUCGGAUAGAUUGGAGACCUCCUGCAGCCACAGCGAGUCCUGCGGGAGGAAAGGGAGUCCUGGCAGAACCGCCACAGGAUUGAUGGUGACGGCAGCCGCAGCUUCGUAAAGCUGAGCAGCUCAAGCAGUCUUCUGAGGGACAGGGAGGGGCAGCUUCACCAGAGAGACAGUGAAAUUUGAAAGCCAUAACAGAAAGGCCAUGUGAAGAUAGAGGCAGAGACUGGAGUAAUGUGGUUACAAGCCAAGGAACAUCUGGAGUCACCAGGAAGUGGAAGAGGAAAGUAAGGAUUCUUUCUUAGAGCCUUUGGAGGAAACACAGCUCUACUAAAAUCUUGGUUUCAGACUUCUGGACUCCAGAACCGUGAUAAUAAAAUUUCUGUUGUUUUUAAGUUAUGAAGUUUGUGGAAAUUUGUUUGUUCAAGU